RNAcentral lists this transfer-messenger RNA (354 nucleotides) under Hydrocarboniphaga effusa. It matches the Rfam family "transfer-messenger RNA". Rfam says of the family: Bacterial tmRNA, also known as 10Sa RNA or SsrA, is named for its dual tRNA and mRNA-like properties. Its role is to liberate the mRNA from a stalled ribosome. To accomplish this part of the tmRNA is used as a reading frame that ends in a translation stop signal. The record is from RNAcentral. Lineage: Bacteria; Pseudomonadati; Pseudomonadota; Gammaproteobacteria; Nevskiales; Nevskiaceae.
GGGGGCGAUCGGGCUCGACGGCGAUUGUAAAACCCAAGGUGCAUGCCGAUGUGCGGAAGACAUCGUAAAACCAUCCGCAAAAAAGCUAGUUGCGAACGACGCUAACUACGCCCUGGCAGCUUAAUCCCUGCUAGCGUUCGCCCGGUCAGUGUCUGUGCUGCCGGGGCCGAACGUCGACUUCACAGAACCGCGGUGAGGCCCGCUCUUGGCCGAUCCGUCAACACUUAAGGAGAUAAGCGUUGGCGUUCCGUGCCCAUCCGGCAGCCAUCGUCGAAAACCAAAGACCGGGCUAAGCAUGUAGUUCCAAGGGUGGAACAUUGUCGGACGGGGGUUCAAUUCCCCCCGCCUCCACCA